This 125-nucleotide small RNA is filed under the name Marmota monax (woodchuck). The record is from RNAcentral. Lineage: Eukaryota; Metazoa; Chordata; Mammalia; Rodentia; Sciuridae.
GCUGGGCAUGGUGGCACAUACCUGUAAUCCUAGUGACUGGGGAGGCUGAAACAGGAGGAUCACAAGUUCAAAGUCAGCCUCAGCAAUUGUGAGGCGCAAGGCAACUCAGUGAGAUCCUGUUUCUA